CUCCCGCGGCCACGGGCCGCAAGGCCGCCUCCGGCCGGCCGCAGGCUGCCUCCCGUCGGCCUCCGUCCGCCCGUGAUUACUCCCGUCGACCUCCGGCGUAAGGAGCCCCAGCCCCUGUUCAGGUGCGUGACUUCCUCUGAUAGUGGUAGUGCAGGCCUCCCGUGAACCGUGAGUUCCUCCCAGUAGUGGUAGCAUAGCAUCCGUAAAGUGCAUAGAGAUUUACAUUUUCUGUGUAGUGUAUCCAGGCAAUUUGGAAUAUAAUCCAUAGUCUACAGAAUAAGGGCCCAUGCAAGCAUGGAUGGUGGAUUAAGGUCAGGGGCAGUGUGAUCUUUAUAAUGUUGGCUAUUGCACAGUUGUUGAUUAUCCUUUCUUUUCAAUACUUAACUGGUUCAAAUACAAUUGCUUGGAGAAUAGUACCAUAUAGAUUGCAAGUAGGAGGUAACGUGAUGAUAAUUGGCCAAUCUCCAGAAUCUGGAUAUGAGUUUAUAUUGAUUGAUUGCAGUCCCAGGCUCCCAUCCUCUCCUAAAUUAGAACCUGCUAUCAUGUUAUUCUCAGUGUAAUAGACCUUAAAUGUCUCUAUGCUGAAUUUGAACAUCUAUUUUGCAAUUUAAUAUGCAUUGUUAUUUAUUUAUUAAAAAAAUAGUUAAAACGUAUCCGCAUAUCGGGUUGUUUAAGAAAUUGCCGUAUCCGCGUAUCCGUAUCCUUCCGAUACCGAUACGCGUAUCCGUAUCCGUGCUGCAUAGCUAGCCGGUACGCUGGGUUUUGAUGAGCCUUUGCGGUUGGUAGUGAAGGCAGGAGUGGUGGUCUUUGUAUUUUCUGGAAUAACGAUUUGGAUAUCAAUAUUUUGGGUCAUUCUAAGUAUCGCAUUGAUGCUUCAGUUAUGGGUAUCGGUGAGUUACCUUGGAGAAUCACAACAGUUUAUGGAGAGGCCCAGACUAACCUGAGAUCUCAAACUUGGGAUACUCUAAAGAACAUAUGUGGUACUAGCACCUUACCUUGGCUUUGCCUAGAAGGUUUCAAUGAAGUAUUGCGACCUGAGGAGCACCUUCGAGUGGGACACCGCGCGCUAUCGCAGAUGCAGGGAUUUCGCGACAUGGUUGAUGUAUGCAGCCUCAUUGAUCUCGGUUAUAGUGGUCGCUUCUGGACCUGGGAGAAGAAGGUGGCAGGGGGUACUUAUACUCAAGUCAGACUGGAUCGAGCCCUUGGUUCAGCUGAAUGGAGUGCGCAGUUUCCCUUUGCAAAUGUGUGCCAUAUCAACGCAGCAACGUCUGAUCAUCGUGGGUUGCUGCUAAAACUAACUGAUGAUGAGUUAGAACAAACGGUGCGCGUCGAUAGUUCCGUUACGAAGCCAUGUAGGACAUGCACCCGGAGCUACAGCCUACCGUUGCAACGUGUUGGCAUACUGUGGUGGCCACAAUUGUUGGAGAUGUUAAAAGCAAACUGGGU
Molecule: long non-coding RNA, 1446 nt
Filed under: Setaria viridis
Lineage: Eukaryota; Viridiplantae; Streptophyta; Magnoliopsida; Poales; Poaceae
Description: long non-coding RNA (SVIR_LNC005092)
Source: RNAcentral